Molecule: ribosomal RNA, 433 nt
Filed under: uncultured bacterium
Lineage: Bacteria
Description: partial 16S ribosomal RNA
Rfam family: Bacterial small subunit ribosomal RNA
Source: RNAcentral
AACGAACGCUGGCGGCAUGCCUAACACAUGCAAGUCGAACGAGACCUUCGGGUCUAGUGGCGCACGGGUGCGUAACGCGUGGGAACCUGCCCUUAGGUUCGGAAUAACUCCCCGAAAGGGGUGCUAAUACCGGAUAAUGUCUUCGGACCAAAGAUUUAUCGCCUUUGGAUGGGCCCGCGUUGGAUUAGCUAGUUGGUAGGGUAAAAGCCUACCAAGGCGACGUUCCAUAGCUGGUCUGAGAGGAUGAUCAGCCACACUGGGACUGAGACACGGCCCAGACUCCUAGGGGAGGCAGCAGUGGGGAAUAUUGGACAAUGGGGGAAAGCCUGAUCCAGCAAUGCCGCGUGAGUGAUGAAGGCCUUAGGGUUGUAAAGCUCUUUUACACGGGAUGAUAAUGACGGUACCGGGAGAAUAAGCUCCGGCUAACUCCGUG